Molecule: ribosomal RNA, 116 nt
Filed under: Pteropus alecto (black flying fox)
Lineage: Eukaryota; Metazoa; Chordata; Mammalia; Chiroptera; Pteropodidae
Source: RNAcentral
GUCUACAGCUAUGCCCCUCUGAACAAGCCCAAUGUCUGAUCUCGGAAGCUAAGCAGGGUCGGACCUGGUUAGUACUUGGAUGGGAGGCCACCUAGGAAGACCAGGUGCUGUAGGCA